UGGAACGGCCAUAGCGGUGUGGUUCUACCUGUUCCCAUUCCGAACACAGUCGUCAAGAACACCCACGUUUCAUGCUGUACUGCACUCUUGUGUGGGAAACAUGAUUAGCUGUUCCAU
This 117-nucleotide ribosomal RNA is filed under the name Candidatus Woesearchaeota archaeon CG10_big_fil_rev_8_21_14_0_10_34_8. Lineage: Archaea; Nanobdellati; Candidatus Woesearchaeota. The record is from RNAcentral.